This 88-nucleotide transfer RNA is filed under the name Candidatus Bathyarchaeota archaeon. Its description in RNAcentral is "tRNA-Ala". It matches the Rfam family "tRNA". From Rfam's summary of the family: Transfer RNA (tRNA) molecules are approximately 80 nucleotides in length. Their secondary structure includes four short double-helical elements and three loops (D, anti-codon, and T loops). The record is from RNAcentral. Lineage: Archaea; Thermoproteati; Candidatus Bathyarchaeota.
GGGCCGGUAGUUCAGCUCGGCAUACGAAAGGCCGACGAACGUCCGGUUUGCAGCCGGAAAGCCGCGGGUUCAAAUCCCGCCCGGUCCA